Syzygium oleosum is the source of this 559-nucleotide long non-coding RNA. RefSeq lists it as uncharacterized. NCBI's taxonomy places the organism in Eukaryota, Viridiplantae, Streptophyta, Magnoliopsida, Myrtales, Myrtaceae. The record is from RefSeq and is a predicted model, not a curated record. The transcript is spliced from 3 exons.
CUACUUUCAGAACGAGAGAGAGCAGAGCCAAACACGCACCCUGCAAUGGUUAGCAACUGAGCAAGGUCGUCUCAUGUUGCGAUUGGCCUAAGAAAAGAUGCCACACUGCUUCCCACAUUCAUCAUGCGCCUAACAGUUGCAGUGUUGCUUCAUACCCAUUGUCCCCACCACCACCACCACCACCACCACCAUCACAUUAGCUUUGGACAUAAUCAUAUCAAUCUAUCAUGCACAGCACAUAUUCAGGAUGAUGAUCGAACUUGCUCGUAGAAUCUAGUGACUGUUCAGGCGUGCAACUCCUUUCUACAACGUUCGUCACUAGAUUCCUGGAGAAAGCGAGAGAGAGAGAGAAUAAAAAAGUCAAGAAAGGAAAAGAGAAUUGCCCUCCCAACUCCAAAAGCUUAGACCCCACCACACCGACAAACAAGUACCCAUCAGAAAUAAAGGCAACCACUCGUCACCCUUUGGAGGAAUAUAAAUGUAGCAUUCACAUUGCGAAGGACUCAUCCGAGACUCUUUCGUCUCGUCUGAAGCUUGCACAGGCGACAACUAGUGCAGG